This 594-nucleotide long non-coding RNA is filed under the name Mytilus galloprovincialis (Mediterranean mussel). The record is from RNAcentral. Lineage: Eukaryota; Metazoa; Mollusca; Bivalvia; Mytilida; Mytilidae.
CACAAUAGUUACUUAUCACAACUAAGAUGACAACACUACAAUUACAUACAAUCAAAUCGACCGAUGUUGUUCUAGUUUUUAUCGAAGGAAGCACACAGAUAAUAGUGAUUGAUAAAAUAAUCCGACUCCAGACUCAUUAAGUGACUAAUCUUCAUUCGAGUGAUAAUCAGGCUUGAAGUACCAAGGGGACAAUUAAAUCAUAAGUGUAAUUGAAACAAACAACACAAAGGAACAAGAUAAGAUACUAAGCGAGGUGGGCAACUUUUGCAAUUAUUUCCCCUGUGGUGGGAAGCUAGGAUAAUUCGGGUGUUGAUGGUUGAUGUUGUCUGUUGAAAUGUUUACUGUUUUUGGUGAAUUAUGACAACAUAUUUCUAGACAUUUCAAUGCAGCCAACUCUGACAUUUGGAAUAUAAGAAUAUUUCUUACGCAAAGCAUUUUUGCGGAUAUAGAAGUGAGCCACAGUCGUACCCAACAACAUUUUGAGAAUUUCGUUGCUGUUUUUGUAGUUUAACAUUGGAUGGGAGGUGUGUCAUUCUAAAAAUCUAAAAAAAAAACACUCUUAAUGAAUAAAUAUUUGAACCUGAAAUAUCUGAC